This 492-nucleotide ribosomal RNA is filed under the name uncultured bacterium. RNAcentral describes it as "partial 16S ribosomal RNA". It matches the Rfam family "Bacterial small subunit ribosomal RNA", at positions 29 to 507 of the family's 1533-position model. The record is from RNAcentral.
AGUGAACGCUGGCGGCAGGCCUAACACAUGCAAGUCGAACGGCAGCACAGUAAGAGCUUGCUCUUACGGGUGGCGAGUGGCGGACGGGUGAGGAAUACAUCGGAAUCUACUUUUUCGUGGGGGAUAACGUAGGGAAACUUACGCUAAUACAGCAUACGACCUACGGGUGAAAGCAGGGGAUCUUCGGACCUUGCGCGAUUGAAUGAGCCGAUGUCGGAUUAGCUAGUUGGCGGGGUAAAGGCCCACCAAGGCGACGAUCCGUAGCUGGUCUGAGAGGAUGAUCAGCCACACUGGAACUGAGACACGGUCCAGACUCCUACGGGAGGCCGCAGUGGGGAAUAUUGGACAAUGGGCGCAAGCCUGAUCCAGCCAUACCGCGUGGGUGAAGAAGGCCUUCGGGUUGUGAAGCCCUUUUGUUGGGAAAGAAAAGCAUCAGGUUAAUACCCCGCUGUUCUGACGGUACCCAAAGAAUAAGCACCGGCUAACUUCGUG